AACAGAAAAAUUGGGUAUCUUUUUUUUGUAACUUUUUGUAUCACUUUUUCUGUCACACAAUGCCCAGAGGCAAAGUCUUCAAGUUUCCACUGGUCAGUAGUGGUAGGAGGACUACCACUAGAAGAAGUGAGAGGUGGAGGCUAGCGUGCUGCACCUUCUACAGCCCAAGGGGAAUAGAGAACUCAGGCAGGGAACAGAACCUUCAAAAUACAUCAAAGAUCACCCAGGUGCUGAAAGAAUGUGGUAUCCCAGACCCAACAAACCUCACACAGUUUAAUUCAGAAAACCAGACAGGAGAACAAAGAGUAAAAUACUGUCUUCCUGUAUCUAAAGUGGUUCUUCAAUUUACACAAAGUUUAAACUACCUAUGUCAAAGUUGUCCUCGCUAGAAAAUGUAUUAUGACUCUUCCAGAAGUUAUAAACUUGGAAUAGGUGAUGCUAUUUGCCCAUUUUAGUUCCUAAAGAAAGUCAACAAUUACUGGAUAUCCAGACUGUAUGACUGUGACUACACAAAAAAUGAAUAGAGAGCUAAAUUCAGAAGACUAGACGUCCGUUAGACUUAACGAUGAUUUCCAAAUAGAUGAUAUGCAAGAUGAGAUAGUGAGGGUAGUGGAGCACUGGAACAGGUUGCCCAGGGAGGUGGUUGAGGCCCCAUCCCUGGAGAUAUUCAAGGAGAGGCUCGACGAGGCCCUGGGCAACCUGGUCUAGUUGGGGGUGUCCCUGCUGACUGCGGGGAGGUCGGACUAGAUGACCUUUGGAGGUCCCUUCCGGCCUGGGCAAUUCUAUGAUUCUAUGAUUCUAUGAUUCUAUGACUAAGCAGAAGACAGAAAACCCUCUACAUGAAAUACUGAUGACAUGUAUCUAGUAUGUUUUUCUUUACUUGUCUCUUACAUUAAAUUUCAAAAGAAUUCUGUAGAAAGUUAUACAUAUCUGGAAUCUGAAGAUUAUAGAGAUGGCAAUUAAAAGCUCUACUUGAUGAAGUUUAUUUUUUCCCUUAAAAUCCCUAAUGGAAUCUGCCUCUGUACCUUGAUACAUAUCUGCUGCCUUCUAGUUAAAGACACCUGUUUAAAAUAUAGCCACAUUUGAGUCAUGGUGAGGAAAACUGGUAUUUGAAUUUUAACGGUUGUGUGAAUACUAAUGAAACACAAUUGCUCUGCUAUUUUCAUAUUAACUUGAAUGCUUAAUAAUAUUUUAUAGACAUUUCAUGAAAGCUAGGCUAGCAAGUAUAUGCUAACUGCAGAGUAGUCAUUCUAGUUACUUCACACCAGUCGAUAUUUACAAACUCUCAUUUCUGGGAAGCACAACUUGAAACUAUUAUCAUAGGAUCAUAGAAUUGCCCAGGCCAGAAGGGACCUCCAAAGGUCAUCUAGUCCGACCUCCCCGCAGUCAGCAGGGACACCCCCAACUAGACCAGGUUGCCCAGGGCCUCAUCGAGCCUCUCCUUGAAUAUCUCCAGGGAUGGGGCCUCAACCACCUCCCUGGGCAACCUGUUCCAGUGCUCCACCACCCUCACAGUGAAGAACCCUCUCCUAAUCUCCAAUCUAAAUCUGUUCCCCUCCAGCUUGAAGCCAUUGCCCCUGGUCCUGUCACUACAGGCCUUUCUAAACAGGCUCUAUUGUUACAUUGAUUGUCCACUAUUCAGUUACUUGAGGGAAGGGAAAUCUGUUCACAUGUAGCAGUCCCUAAAGUAUUCCAGCAAACCCACUUCUGUUUUCGCUUCUGUGUUUGUGGCUUUAUAUGUUACUGAGCCCUGCUUUUGCUAUGAAUUUAUCAGUGGUCAAUAGCAGCUGUGCAGACCAAGUCACUAUCAGCUCUUGUAUUCAACAGCUGCUCUCAGCAAAGCUGGUUAACACAGAAGGUGGUUGUGCUUGUGCAAGAUCGGCCUUGUUCAAUGUCAUUUUUGCUUCCACAAGCAGAGGAAAAUCCAGGGGACGGAUUGCAAAGAUGAGGAAUUCUGAAACACAAUGACAGCACAGCUGCUACCUGUCAAUGUCAGCCCCUCUGUGGUGAGUUGCAGGAGAGGAAAAAUUUCAGAGCAGAGACAUUUGUUUGACUGUGCCAAAAAAGGCUAGGAGCACAUAUAUUUGAGGUACAGCUCUGAGACUGAUGGUGGCAAUUGAUAAAGACAGGUUGUGAAGAAGUUCUCCUUGGCUUUGGAAAAUUAUCUAAUUCUCGCCUUCAGUAGAUUUGGGCUUCUGAUGAAUUGCUGCUAAACAGUUUGUGGAUAUCCAUUUCAUUCAGUCGUAUGGCAGUUAGCUGUCCAAAUGAAUAUCCAGUCCUCGUACCAACAUAACCAAUACCAUCCUGGUUAGCAGCAGCAGUCCUAUUUCUUGAAGUAGAGCAGCUAUUAUUGGUUCCUCCAGAAGAAGACACUGUGUAGUAGGGAUACAAGGCAGGAGCUGAAGCUGAUCAUAUGUAUCAAAGGACACACAGAGAUUUUUCACUAAUUUUUGAACUUCAUUUCCAAGUUGGAAAUGAAAACUACAAACUGGAAACAACUCUGGAAAAUCAGAAACCCAUGAUUUAAUAUGUAAGUUGGCACCAUGCUAAGGUGCUCUAUAGUUUUAGAUGUUCAAGUCUGGCUUAUGCCUUGAAUCAGAAGAGCUUCUGUUCUUUUCAAAACUGUGGUUUGUAUUUUCUAAUGUGGUAUGAUGUUUAUUUCAAGCUUUGGAUCCUGCUGUGAUCUUUGUUUCACUGCUCCUUUUGAAAGUGGAGUACCUGGAUUUAAUUUGCACUGUGAAAAUUAUACUCUUUUUUAUCAUUUUGCAGUUUGUUCAACUGUGUUUAUAGAGUAACUACCCUGCCCAUGUUGAUAGUACAAGAAAAUGUGAUGAGAACUUCUUACUAUGUGUUCAUUAAGCCAUUCAUUAGUUCCUGUACUUGUAUCUCUUUUCUCUUUCCUCAGCAUUCCUCAAAAGCCAUUGUCUCUCUCAACUUAAUGAGAAAUUGUGAAGUUCUCAUGGUGCUGUUGGGAAAUGUAUAUUGUAGAAGCUCAUUCAAGUGAUUUAUGCAAUUAGGAAAAUGUGCAAGCAAUGGCCCCAGGUCAUGGCUGUAAUGAAAUCCAAAUGCAGGUAAUGAAGUUGAAUUUCAGAUUAAAAGUUUUGCAUAGCUCAGCUGCAAGCCACAUAAACUGAAGCAAUUCCAAAUUUGCUUGGAAAAGGGGAUAUUAAAAGAGGAGAUGUCACAGAGAUGUAGCUGCUUGUGCAGUCCCAUACAACUGUAACAACUGUCUCUAAUCUGUCUCACCUUUGUCCGUGAAGUAUUUUGUCACAGGCUUUGGUCUGGUUGUUUCAGGAUUGUCAAAGUAAACUGAUGAAGCAGAAAGUGGUCUCUCUGUGUGUAUGUGUCUUUAAAAAAUCUCAGCUUGAAAACACAUAUCAGAAAGUUUCUACUCAAACUCAAAACAACAAAGUAUUUUCUCACAAGAUGAGAUACAAGCAUUAUGAGGAGCAACCAGUCAGUGUUUAGUUAGGAAACCAUAGAGAGUUUUUUCAGAUUGAGACAAAGAAGCAGUGUUGGGAAAUGAAUGAAAAGGAAUCCCCAUUGAAAUGUUUCCUCAUUUAGGACUCAGUUCUGCUCCUACACACAUGGUUUUGACUUAGGGAAUUGUCUGGGGGUUUUUUUAUGUGAGUAAUGCAAUGGACUGAGUAAGUGAAUUCAGAUUUAAAACCAGAAAAUUUUAUUGCCACUGUCAGAGGAUCAUUGUCACAAAAGAAAGAUUAGCAGUAACACCCCAAAACUCUUAAUAUUAUCAAUUUCAAAAAAGAAAUAAUAAUCUAGGAUUGGAACUUUGCUCUUAGCCUGUCUUUUUUGUAUGCAACAACUUUGCAUACAAAAGCAAAAACUUUGUACCUAAUAAACUUAAACACAGAGAAUUGUCA
Molecule: long non-coding RNA, 3881 nt
Filed under: Calidris pugnax (ruff)
Lineage: Eukaryota; Metazoa; Chordata; Aves; Charadriiformes; Scolopacidae
Description: lncRNA (ENSCPUG00000006474.1)
Source: RNAcentral